AGAGUUUGAUCCUGGCUCAGGACGAACGCUGGCGGCGUGCCUAAUACAUGCAAGUCGAGCGAGCUUGCCUAGAUGAUUUUAGUGCUUGCACUAAAUGAAACUAGAUACAAGCGAGCGGCGGACGGGUGAGUAACACGUGGGUAACCUGCCCAAGAGACUGGGAUAGCACCUGGAAACAGAUGCUAAUACCGGAUAACAACACUAGACGCAUGUCUAGAGUUUGAAAGAUGGUUCUGCUAUCACUCUUGGAUGGACCUGCGGUGCAUUAGCUAGUUGGUAAGGUAACGGCUUACCAAGGCAAUGAUGCAUAGCCGAGUUGAGAGACUGAUCGGCCACAUUGGGACUGAGACACGGCCCAAACUCCUACGGGAGGCAGCAGUAGGGAAUCUUCCACAAUGGACGAAAGUCUGAUGGAGCAACGCCGCGUGAGUGAAGAAGGGUUUCGGCUCGUAAAGCUCUGUUGGUAGUGAAGAAAGAUAGAGGUAGUAACUGGCCUUUAUUUGACGGUAAUUACUUAGAAAGUCACGGCUAACUACGUGCCAGCAGCCGCGGUGAUACGUAGGUGGCAAGCGUUGUCCGGAUUUAUUGGGCGUAAAGCGAGUGCAGGCGGUUCAAUAAGUCUGAUGUGAAAGCCUUCGGCUCAACCGGAGAAUUGCAUCAGAAACUGUUGAACUUGAGUGCAGAAGAGGAGAGUGGAACUCCAUGUGUAGCGGUGGAAUGCGUAGAUAUAUGGAAGAACACCAGUGGCGAAGGCGGCUCUCUGGUCUGCAACUGACGCUGAGGCUCGAAAGCAUGGGUAGCGAACAGAAGUAGAUACCCUGGUAGUCCAUGCCGUAAACGAUGAG
RNAcentral lists this ribosomal RNA (845 nucleotides) under uncultured bacterium. Its description in RNAcentral is "bacterial SSU rRNA". It matches the Rfam family "Bacterial small subunit ribosomal RNA", at positions 8 to 813 of the family's 1533-position model. The record is from RNAcentral.